Passer domesticus (house sparrow) is the source of this 2931-nucleotide long non-coding RNA. RefSeq lists it as uncharacterized. The transcript is spliced from 4 exons. The record is from RefSeq and is a predicted model, not a curated record. NCBI's taxonomy places the organism in Eukaryota, Metazoa, Chordata, Aves, Passeriformes, Passeridae.
CUUGUUGGUGCUGGCCAGACAUGGAGCUGGGGGAGUGUUGCCUUCACCAGCUGUGCUCAGGGUGACUGCAUAACUGGAACUGGUGGGAAUUUGAGCUGCUGUUUUCCAAGUGCAUACAACAGCUGGUUUACUGUGCUGUCGCUCUUCAAAAAACCAAAAUAAGACCAGCCAGACCAGGAAAUACUGAAUUCUCCCCCAUCUCUUACCCCAGGCAAACGGUUCCCUAAAAACAAAAUUUCAGACAAGUAAAUAUGAACAUUGUCUAUUGCCAUUUCCUACUGAGAUGUACUUCAGCUCCAGCUCCUACUGACAAUCAUACUGUGUCUCCAAUCAAAGACAGUGGUGAGAUUUGAUAACUGUAAUGGACAGGAAAACAGUGGCAUUUAUGAUAAAUGUGCAUUUGUUAGAAGGUUUCAAGCCAGGUCAAAGGAAGGGGUGCAGAUUGUCCCAGUCAGUGUGAGUGUGCAGAAGGAAGGAUUUAUUGUUAAAUGUCUCCAUCAGGGGUCAGCUUGGACUGGGAAGGAUGUCCUAGGGGAGCAUUGAGCACUGAGCUCCUAAAAUGACAUUGGCCCUCAGUUUGAACAGUGACCACCUCUGUGCAGAGGAUGGGGAUCCUGAAUAACCCCACAUGGAGCAGCCUGGCAAGCAGCCUGCUGAGCCAGUCUGUCCUCUGCCUCAGAAAAAGUGCCUUUCUUCUCUGGGACUCCUUGAACAAAACUCAUGUAUUAUUUUUAUGCUAAAUAUAGCAGGGGAUCAUGAUUGUAUAAUUCCACCAGAGGAAGAAGGCUUCCUCCCCCCUAGCAACAAGCUCAGUGUUCAGGGCAGUCUUCUGUGAUGUGAUAGACAGAAUUUCAAUCCCCUCUCCUGUCUGAUGGGAAUUCAAAACUGCAUCUUCCAUCUUUAAGGAAAGUCUCUGCAUAAGCCCAUCGGCUGUACCAGUCCCUGCCAUAAAAAUAUUUUGUACCUCUUAUAUAAAGACUGUUCAUUAUAUUAUCAAGAUGUGCCUAAACAAGCCUCAGAGGAGGAUGAGUGCUCUGUUUAGCAUAAUGUUUUCUUCUUUUCUCCGUGCUGGUUUUUCCAAAGGAGAAAUGGUAAAAUUGUCUGUCUUCUGAAAUGGCUUCUAUGUUAGUGAUGAGCAAGGAGUGGGGAAUGAAAGUUUGAACCUGUUUAUAUCAUUGAGUAAGCGAUCAUAUUUAUCCUUCUAUAUCCUAGAUGAAUGCUUUGGUUACUAAGACUGCAAGGAAUUUGUGUUGCUUCUGCACUGGGUGUCGUGAAGUUGGUGUUUUUGAUGUAUUCUUUUUAGCUCAAAUCCAUCAGAGAUGCAGAAGAAUCUGAAGAACAUAGGAAAUGUCCCACUGGCUUUGACAGGAGUCCUAUGGCCCAGGGAUUGGUCUGGGAGCUUGAUCUCUCAUAUUUCCGUCUCCCCAAGCUCCUGGCUGUCCAGAGUGGCCUGUGUUAGAGAGGUGUUAGAGAGUACCCCUGCUCUCAGGGUCCAUUUUUGGAUCUCAUUUCUUUGGAACACACAAUUCUGUCUGCCCUCACCAUUCCCUGUGGCGGCACCUUGCAGAAAUCCUCUACCAAGCAUUUGAAAUGGUUUUCUUGAAUUCAGACUGGGCUGCACACUGCUUCAAUGAAACUCUGCCUGGCUUUGAGCCACUGUCUGUGAGCCUGUGUGGACAGAGAGGCACUGGGGACCUGGGGACACUGAUUUCAGCAGAUAAAGGACAGACAGGGUCACUGUGAUGUGAUAGCAGCUGUGAGCUGGUGGCUGGGUUGAAAUUUAUCUCCUUGAAGUCUGAUUUCCAAACCAGGCCUGGAUCUCUCCCUGCUCCCUUUCCUUUCUCAAAGAGUGAUGCUAUUUUUCCAACUCUUCUUUCAGCAAAGGGAUAAUUACAGAUUUCAAACAGCUGAUGAAUAAAUGUGUGGGUUUUUCUAGCAUGGGCCAUCUUCUGAGGGAGACAGGAGAAGUAGCUGUAAUCAACACAUUGUGAAUUAGACCUUGCUCCCCAGUCAGCCUCAUGUGUCUGUCUCAUACUGCUCCAUGUGCUUAUGGGCAGCAGAAAACACGAGGGAGAAUGUAAAUUAAACAUUUGAUUAACUAUCCCUUUCUUUCUGACUGUAGCAGAAUCAGCAUGCAAAUGCCAUUCUGUAUUUUAUUUUUUUUUGCAUUGACAGUGUAGCUACACAAAAAUAUUAUGAUCUUCUGCUGCCAACUGCAACUGAAUGAAUUAUUCUGAAGCAUUCUGAUGCCUGUCUUUGUCACAGUCUCCUAUUUCAGUCCCUGUCAUGCACUGUGCCUAUCAUUCAUUAUAGUUGAUGGGUUGAGGGCAGAAAGGUGUCUCUUGCCUUGUUCUCUGGAGAAUUUUUUCUUGUCUGUCUCACCUUCAAUCACUGCUAAUAGCUUUGCUGGAACAAAUUCAAGAAGGGGCUGUGAGGAGAUGAUGAAAAUAUUUCACAGGGCAGUUUAUAUUUUAAUUGCUAGUUUAAAAAAUGAAUUUGCUGGAGCAGACCAAAAUGAAGAUUGCUUAGAGAUAUUUUUCAUACAAGCCUUUUAAUUAAUUUUUUAAUUGUUAUUAAUCUUUAAGCCCUUUGCAUUCUUAUGUUUUUCCUGUGAAUUGCCAUGAAGGAUUGGGUUUUCUUGUGAUUGACCAAUGACCAUUUAUCUUAUGAAUUCAUUAGGAUGAGUUACUGCUCAGCAAAAACUGUAUUGGAGGAGAGAACAAAAUAGCACCAUAGCUUUAGGAUGUUUUUUUGUAGGAGGCUUUCACAAACUUUCGACUGCCGCUUCUACCUUGCAUUUUAAGCACAUUGUGCCUGUGUUUGUGGCAGAUCUCCUGCCACCGUUCUGAUGUCCUGCAAAAGUUGCAGUGGAGGAGUGAGACAGAGCUCACCAUUUUGGCAGGAGCUCAGUGGCACACAAGUGAGAGUGGA